GAUGAACGCUGGCGGCGUGCCUAAUACAUGCCAGUCGAGCGAACAGACGAGGAGCUUGCUCCUCUGACGUUAGCGGCGGACGGGUGAGUAACACGUGGAUAACCUACCUAUAAGACUGGGAUAACUUCGGGAAACCGGAGCUAAUACCGGAUAAUAUAUUGAACCGCAUGGUUCAAUAGUGAAAGACGGUUUUGCUGUCACUUAUAGAUGGAUCCGCGCCGCAUUAGCUAGUUGGUAAGGUAACGGCUUACCAAGGCGACGAUGCGUAGCCGACCUGAGAGGGUGAUCGGCCACAUUGGAACUGAGACACGGUCCAGACUCCUACGGGAGGCAGCAGUAGGGAAUCUUCCGCAAUGGGCGAAAGCCUGACGGAGCAACGCCGCGUGAGUGAUGAAGGUCUUCGGAUCGUAAAACUCUGUUAUUAGGGAAGAACAAAUGUGUAAGUAACUAUGCACGUCUUGACGGUACCUAAUCAGAAAGCCACGGCUAACUACGUG
Molecule: ribosomal RNA, 497 nt
Filed under: uncultured bacterium
Lineage: Bacteria
Description: partial 16S ribosomal RNA
Rfam family: Bacterial small subunit ribosomal RNA
Source: RNAcentral